Molecule: ribosomal RNA, 467 nt
Filed under: uncultured bacterium
Lineage: Bacteria
Description: partial 16S ribosomal RNA
Rfam family: Bacterial small subunit ribosomal RNA
Source: RNAcentral
GACGAACGCUGGCGGCGUGCUUAACACAUGCAAGUCGAACGGAAAGGCCCUGCUUUUGUGGGGUGCUCGAGUGGCGAACGGGUGAGUAACACGUGAGUAACCUGCCCUUGACUUUGGGAUAACUUCAGGAAACUGGGGCUAAUACCGGAUAGGAGCUCCUGCUGCAUGGUGGGGGUUGGAAAGUUUCGGCGGUUGGGGAUGGACUCGCGGCUUAUCAGCUUGUUGGUGGGGUAGUGGCUUACCAAGGCUUUGACGGGUAGCCGGCCUGAGAGGGUGACCGGCCACAUUGGAACUGGGAUACGGCCCAGACUCGUACGGGAGGCAGCGGGGGGGAAUAUUGCACAAUGGGCGGAGGCCUGAUGCAGCAACGCCGCGUGCGGGAUGACGGCCUUCGGGUUGUAAACCGCUUUCGCCUGUGACGAGGCGUGAGUGACGGUAAUGGGUAAAGAAGCACCGGCUAAUUACGU